UACUAAUUCAUACAAUAUACUAGUAGAUAGGAAUUGUCUGGGUUUUUAGUUGUAUUUGCUUUUACUGUGAAUAAGAUCCUAGAACGAACGCCACACGUUUGUAUUUAAAUUCUGCUCUGCUUUCUGUUAUGAUGAUGCCAACAAUCAUGCAAACCCCCUGCCGAUACUAAAAUAGUAUCAAUAAACAUCACAUUGUAUGUGUAUUCCUUUAGACUAAUUCAACAGAGAGUUUAGAAAUCAGCACAGUGUAGCUGGUUAUUACCCACAAUGCCUUAGUUUGUCGUUAUAGGGCAGUUUAUCAGAGCGAAUGUGCGAUGCAGAUACCAGAGGCCAUAAAAAGGAGAAUCAUGUCUUCUGAUAAACAUGCAAAUGAUUCCUAAUGCUAAAAUUACACAAAUUUCGUACAGCUCCAGGGCAAAGCAGCUUCUUAGAAAUCGUUCAGACAGACGGACACAGAUGCUCUAAGAGACUCCGGUCACUUCUGUGAGACACGGACAUGGACACGGACAUGGUCAGCAACAAUACUCAGUGUAAUCUGAUCAGAGUCUAAACAAGCCUGGAUGAAGGAAAGAGGAUGAACCUGUCUGAACGUUACGAACAUAUAGACACGUCUUCAGGUCACAUCUGAUGACGACAGUGUGACCUUUCACACACACACACAAGUGUCACAUCUCAUGAAGAUGCAGAGACUUCACUGAAGAUCUAAUAAUGCCUGUGAUUAGUGAAGCUUUGUCGAGCAGCUGGAGAAGUGUUUGUGUUUGCUGUUAAUUCAACUCCAGACUCUAAUUUCAGGUAUUGUCGAGGCGAGCCUAAAGAUAUUCAGCGAAACGCCUUUCAUGUUUCAAAAAUGUUUCUUAGAACAUUCAUCAAGUACAAAAUAAUAACAUCAUAAGGACGUUCCAACAAUAUCGAUCUCAGCUCCUUUUCUCUCAAUGCUAUGAGAACAUAUAUCAAAUAUUAAUAAAGUUAUAAGAACGUCCAAUAAACAUUCAUUUAAGUAUAUUUUGUCCUAACAUUUAUGUAACUUUUAAAAGCUUCUAACAAGGCACACACAUUUUUGGUAGAAUCCUAAAAUACACAUUAGCAUACAUUUAAAAAGAGCACUUAUUAUAGAAAGAAUAGUCUUACAAGAAGAAGAACAUGCUGAAGUGAUACUGAAUGUAAUGCUUUUGGACACUUGAUUGCUUGUUCAUUGCAAUACAA
Molecule: long non-coding RNA, 1203 nt
Organism: Cyprinus carpio (common carp)
Lineage: Eukaryota; Metazoa; Chordata; Actinopteri; Cypriniformes; Cyprinidae
Source: RefSeq, a predicted model, not a curated record